RNAcentral lists this transfer RNA (80 nucleotides) under compost metagenome. RNAcentral describes it as "tRNA-Thr". The record is from RNAcentral.
GUGCCCGGUUGCCGAGGUAUCGGAACAGCGGCUGAUUUGUCAUCAGCAGAUCGCCAGUUCGAGUCUCUCUGGGGACACCA